Molecule: long non-coding RNA, 264 nt
Filed under: Brachypodium distachyon (stiff brome)
Lineage: Eukaryota; Viridiplantae; Streptophyta; Magnoliopsida; Poales; Poaceae
Description: long non-coding RNA (BDIS_LNC000236)
Source: RNAcentral
CCCUUUUAUAAAUAAACCCUAUUGGUUUGAAGAUCCAAAGCUUAAAUGGGUGUAAACCCUAGGGUUUAAAUUGAAAUAAAAUCUUUCCAAAGCCUUUUGAGAUUCAAAUUUGAAUUCAAAUAUGCAAUUGUGGCAUGAUACUCAUGGAUGCAAUGCAUAUGAAAGGAUUUGAAAUUUUGGGACGUUACAAAAAGCGCGCUUCGCCGUGCUGUUGAUGGCUGUGCAGGUACUGACACAUGACUGCUCAUGAACUACGCUAAGAAU